GCGGGACACGUGGUAUCCUGUCUGAAUAUGGGGGGACCAUCCUCCAAGGCUAAAUACUCCUGACUGACCGAUAGUGAACCAGUACCGUGAGGGAAAGGCGAAAAGAACCCCGGCGAGGGGAGUGAAAAAGAACCUGAAACCGUGUACGUACAAGCAGUGGGAGCCUCUUAAUGGGGUGACUGCGUACCUUUUGUAUAAUGGGUCAGCGACUUAUAUUCUGUAGCAAGGUUAACCGAAUAGGGGAGCCGAAGGGAAACCGAGUCUUAACUGGGCGUUAAGUUGCAGGGUAUAGACCCGAAACCCGGUGAUCUAGCCAUGGGCAGGUUGAAGGUUGGGUAACACUAACUGGAGGACCGAACCGACUAAUGUUGAAAAAUUAGCGGAUGACUUGUGGCUGGGGGUGAAAGGCCAAUCAAACCGGGAGAUAGCUGGUUCUCCCCGAAAGCUAUUUAGGUAGCGCCUCGUGAAUUCAUCUCCGGGGGUAGAGCACUGUUUCGGCAAGGGGGUCAUCCCGACUUACCAACCCGAUGCAAACUGCGAAUACCGGAGAAUGUUAUCACGGGAGACACACGGCGGGUGCUAACGUCCGUCGUGAAGAGGGAAACAACCCAGACCGCCAGCUAAGGUCCCAAAGUCAUGGUUAAGUGGGAAACGAUGUGGGAAGGCCCAGACAGCCAGGAUGUUGGCUUAGAAGCAGCCAUCAUUUAAAGAAAGCGUAAUAGCUCACUGGUCGAGUCGGCCUGCGCGGAAGAUGUAACGGGGCUAAACCAUGCACCGAAGCUGCGGCAGCGACACUAUGUGUUGUUGGGUAGGGGAGCGUUCUGUAAGCCUGUGAAGGUGGCCUGUGAGGGUUGCUGGAGGUAUCAGAAGUGCGAAUGCUGACAUAAGUAACGAUAAAGCGGGUGAAAAGCCCGCUCGCCGGAAGACCAAGGGUUCCUGUCCAACGUUAAUCGGGGCAGGGUGAGUCGACCCCUAAGGCGAGGCCGAAAGGCGUAGUCGAUGGGAAACAGGUUAAUAUUCCUGUACUUGGUGUUACUGCGAAGGGGGGACGGAGAAGGCUAUGUUGGCCGGGCGACGGUUGUCCCGGUUUAAGCGUGUAGGCUGGUUUUCCAGGCAAAUCCGGAAAACCAAGGCUGAGGCGUGAUGACGAGGCACUACGGUGCUGAAGCGACAAAUGCCCUGCUUCCAGGAAAAGCCUCUAAGCAUCAGGUAACAUCAAAUCGUACCCCAAACCGACACAGGUGGUCAGGUAGAGAAUACCAAGGCGCUUGAGAGAACUCGGGUG
RNAcentral lists this ribosomal RNA (1285 nucleotides) under Escherichia coli. Its description in RNAcentral is "partial 23S ribosomal RNA". It matches the Rfam family "Bacterial large subunit ribosomal RNA", at positions 417 to 1706 of the family's 2925-position model. The record is from RNAcentral. Lineage: Bacteria; Pseudomonadati; Pseudomonadota; Gammaproteobacteria; Enterobacterales; Enterobacteriaceae.